Molecule: non-coding RNA, 117 nt
Organism: Pan troglodytes (chimpanzee)
Lineage: Eukaryota; Metazoa; Chordata; Mammalia; Primates; Hominidae
Rfam family: Metazoan signal recognition particle RNA
About the family: The signal recognition particle (SRP) is a universally conserved ribonucleoprotein. It is involved in the co-translational targeting of proteins to membranes.
Source: Rfam
GCUGGGCGUGGUGGCUCACGCCUGUAAUCCCAACACUUUGGGAGGCUGAGGCGGGUGGAUCACCUGAGGUCGGGAGUUCAAGACCAGCCUGGCCAACAUGGUGAAACCCUGUCUCUA